GUCCACGCCCUAAACGAUGUCAACUAGGUGUUGGGUGGGUAAAACCAUUUAGUACCGGAGCUAACGCGUGAAGUUGACCGCCUGGGGAGUACGGCCGCAAGGUUAAAACUCAAAGGAAUUGACGGGGACCCGCACAAGCGGUGGAUGAUGUGGAUUAAUUCGAUGCAACGCGAAAAACCUUACCUACCCUUGACAUGUCCAGAAGCCCGAAGAGAUUUGGGUGUGCCCGAAAGGGAGCUGGAACACAGGUGCUGCAUGGCUGUCGU
RNAcentral lists this ribosomal RNA (266 nucleotides) under uncultured bacterium. RNAcentral describes it as "partial 16S ribosomal RNA". It matches the Rfam family "Bacterial small subunit ribosomal RNA", at positions 793 to 1055 of the family's 1533-position model. The record is from RNAcentral.